RNAcentral lists this transfer RNA (92 nucleotides) under Acidimicrobiia bacterium. Its description in RNAcentral is "tRNA-Sec". It matches the Rfam family "Selenocysteine transfer RNA". The record is from RNAcentral. Lineage: Bacteria; Bacillati; Actinomycetota; Acidimicrobiia.
GGAGGCGACUGGACGCCUGGUGGGUCUCACGGUCUUCAAAACCGAUGGGGGAUCGCAAGGUCCCCGGCGGGUUCGAUUCCCGUCCGCCUCCG